This 495-nucleotide ribosomal RNA is filed under the name uncultured bacterium. RNAcentral describes it as "partial 16S ribosomal RNA". It matches the Rfam family "Bacterial small subunit ribosomal RNA", at positions 28 to 507 of the family's 1533-position model. The record is from RNAcentral.
GACGAACGCUGGCGGCGUGCCUAAUACAUGCAAGUAGAACGCUGAAGGAGGAGCUUGCUUCUCUGGAUGAGUUGCGAACGGGUGAGUAACGCGUAGGUAACCUGCCUGGUAGCGGGGGAUAACUAUUGGAAACGAUAGCUAAUACCGCAUAAGAGUAGAUGUUGCAUGACAUUUGCUUAAAAGGUGCAAUUGCAUCACUACCAGAUGGACCUGCGUUGUAUUAGCUAGUUGGUGAGGUAACGGCUCACCAAGGCAACGAUACAUAGCCGACCUGAGAGGGUGAUCGGCCACACUGGGACUGAGACACGGCCCAGACUCCUACGGGAGGCAGCAGUAGGGAAUCUUCGGCAAUGGACGGAAGUCUGACCGAGCAACGCCGCGUGAGAGAAGAAGGUUUUCGGAUCGUAAAGCUCUGUUGUAAGAGAAGAACGAGUGUGAGAGUGGAAAGUUCACACUGUGACGGUAUCUUACCAGAAAGGGACGGCUAACUACGUG